RNAcentral lists this ribosomal RNA (633 nucleotides) under Burkholderiales bacterium. Its description in RNAcentral is "bacterial SSU rRNA". It matches the Rfam family "Bacterial small subunit ribosomal RNA", at positions 1 to 627 of the family's 1533-position model. Lineage: Bacteria; Pseudomonadati; Pseudomonadota; Betaproteobacteria; Burkholderiales. The record is from RNAcentral.
GAACUGAAGAGUUUGAUCCUGGCUCAGAUUGAACGCUGGCGGCAUGCCUUACACAUGCAAGUCGAACGGCAGCACGGGAGCAAUCCUGGUGGCGAGUGGCGAACGGGUGAGUAAUAUAUCGGAACGUGCCCAGUCGUGGGGGAUAACGCAGCGAAAGCUGUGCUAAUACCGCAUACGAUCUAUGGAUGAAAGCGGGGGACUCGCAAGGGCCUCGCGCGAUUGGAGCGGCCGAUAUCAGAUUAGCUAGUUGGUGGGGUAAAAGCCCACCAAGGCGACGAUCUGUAGCUGGUCUGAGAGGACGACCAGCCACACUGGAACUGAGACACGGUCCAGACUCCUACGGGAGGCAGCAGUGGGGAAUUUUGGACAAUGGGCGCAAGCCUGAUCCAGCAAUGCCGCGUGCAGGAUGAAGGCCUUCGGGUUGUAAACUGCUUUUGUACGGAACGAAACGGUCUGCCCUAAUACGGUGGGCUAAUGACGGUACCGUAAGAAUAAGCACCGGCUAACUACGUGCCAGCAGCCGCGGUAAUACGUAGGGUGCGAGCGUUAAUCGGAAUUACUGGGCGUAAAGCGUGCGCAGGCGGUUAUAUAAGACAGAUGUGAAAUCCCCGGGCUCAACCUGGGACCUGCAUU